This 224-nucleotide ribosomal RNA is filed under the name Dasypyrum villosum. RNAcentral describes it as "partial 18S ribosomal RNA". The record is from RNAcentral. Lineage: Eukaryota; Viridiplantae; Streptophyta; Magnoliopsida; Poales; Poaceae.
AUCAUAGUCCAAAUCUGAGUUUGAUCCUGGCUCAGAAGGAACGCUAGCUAUAUGCUUAACACAUGCAAGUCGAACGUUGUUUUCGGGGAGCUGGGCAGAAGGAAAAGAGGCUCCUAGCUAAAGUUGUCUCGCCCUGCUUCAAAACUACAGGGCGCGCGCUACGGCUUUGACCUAACGGCCUCCGUUUGCUGGAAUCGGAAUAGUUGAGAACAAAGUGGCGAACG